This 253-nucleotide ribosomal RNA is filed under the name uncultured bacterium. RNAcentral's name for it is "partial 16S ribosomal RNA". It matches the Rfam family "Bacterial small subunit ribosomal RNA", at positions 524 to 776 of the family's 1533-position model. The record is from RNAcentral.
GACGGAGGGGGCUAGCGUUGUUCGGAAUGACUGGGCGUAAAGGGCGCGUAGGCGGUUUUUUAAGUGAGGCGUGAAAGCCCUGGGCUUAACCCAGGAGGUGCGUUUCAUACUGGAAAGCUUGAGUGCGAGAGAGGAAAGUGGAAUUCCUAGUGUAGAGGUGAAAUUCGUAGAUAUUAGGAAGAACACCAGUGGCGAAGGCGGCUUUCUGGCUCGUAACUGACGCUGAGGCGCGAAAGCGUGGGGAGCAAACAGG